RNAcentral lists this ribosomal RNA (492 nucleotides) under uncultured bacterium. RNAcentral's name for it is "partial 16S ribosomal RNA". It matches the Rfam family "Bacterial small subunit ribosomal RNA", at positions 29 to 507 of the family's 1533-position model. The record is from RNAcentral.
AGUGAACGCUGGCGGUAGGCCUAACACAUGCAAGUCGAACGGCAGCGCAGUAAGAGCUUGCUCUUACGGGUGGCGAGUGGCGGACGGGUGAGGAAUACAUCGGAAUCUACUUUUUCGUGGGGGAUAACGUAGGGAAACUUACGCUAAUACCGCAUACGACCUACGGGUGAAAGCAGGGGAUCUUCGGACCUUGCGCGAUUGAAUGAGCCGAUGUCGGAUUAGCUAGUUGGCGGGGUAAAGGCCCACCAAGGCGACGAUCCGUAGCUGGUCUGAGAGGAUGAUCAGCCACACUGGAACUGAGACACGGUCCAGACUCCUACGGGAGGCAGCAGUGGGGAAUAUUGGACAAUGGGCGCAAGCCUGAUCCAGCCAUACCGCGUGGGUGAAGAAGGCCUUCGGGUUGUAAAGCCCUUUUGUUGGGAAAGAAAUGCAGCAGGUUAAUACCCCGCUGUUCUGACGGUACCCAAAGAAUAAGCACCGGCUAACUUCGUG